AUGCAGACAGGGUUAAAAAUUUCCAGCCUGAAGUCCUGUGGCCACAAUCUAUUUCAACUGACCUAUCCUUUACCCAGGAAAUUCCUUUUUCUUUUUCAUUACAAAACAGUGAUAUUCUCCAAGACAAAGUCUAUUACACAAUAUAAUUUAUUUAUUUAUUUUUUUCAUCUUUCUCCUUCUCCAUCUUUCCCUUCUCAAAUUCCUAAAGAAGAGAGGACUUUCAGAAGUGGGGAUAUUAGCAAGACUCCUAAGAUCUCUAGGCUACUAUUUUCCAUUUUCUUCAGCAGCUGUUACUACUUCCAGAUGAGAGAAAUUAAUUUUGGAUAUACUUCAACCAUCAAAGAAGCUGUGAGUCUAUACAGGUAUCUCUAUAAGAAUUAACCUCAGCUGCCACGUGCACUUUGGAAGCGCAAGGCACAACAGAGGACGGUACAGAGAGCUCUAUCUGAAAGCAGAAGGGGAAUAAAAGCUUGAAAGAUGUUGAAAUAUUUUGUGGC
This 497-nucleotide long non-coding RNA is filed under the name Coturnix japonica (Japanese quail). RNAcentral describes it as "lncRNA (ENSCJPG00005003523.1)". Lineage: Eukaryota; Metazoa; Chordata; Aves; Galliformes; Phasianidae. The record is from RNAcentral.